Ictalurus punctatus (channel catfish) is the source of this 3288-nucleotide long non-coding RNA. The record is from Ensembl. Lineage: Eukaryota; Metazoa; Chordata; Actinopteri; Siluriformes; Ictaluridae.
AACGCGAUUAAGACGAUACUCUGAUUAAGAAACUAGCAUGUAAACAGCGUUUAUUGAUGACCUUAAUCCGAAAUGGAAUUAAGGCGUGUGGAGUGUUCAUGUUUUAGUCGCAUUAUGGACGUGCGUUACAGACACGUACACACCUUCAUCACACUAUUAACGUCGUGUGGGAGUUUUCACCGCAUUUUACGACAGGACACGUACACACACGGCCGUGCUCAAUCGUUUUAUGGCAAACAGGAGAGCACGGCUGCGUCCCAAACCGCGUACUUACCUGCUAUAUAGUAGGAGAAAUAUAUGUAUAUCAGCUACUAUAUAGUAGGUAAGUACGCGGUUUGGGACGCAGCCCACGGCUUCAAGCGGUCGUCUAUUAGCACGUACGGCACGACAAAUAAUUAACCGCACUCGAAGCGUUCGUAAAAUUAAAAAUAAAAACACCCAAAACUGUAUACGGUACCAUAAUGAAGACGAACUGUAUGUCGAUAUGUGAAAUUCUGGAGGGACGUCGGACGGCGUGGCGCAGGGAUGUAAUGACGUGUGCUGUAAAUCCAGCUAUGUUCUAUAUAGGAACAUAGGAAUAUUCUAAACGCAACUCAUGUAAACACCUUAAUCAGAAUACUGUCUUAUUCAGAAUAAGGUCGAUAAUUAGAUUACUGCUGUCCAUGUAAACGUAGGCAUUAAGAGAGAAGGAUGUGUGUCCCCUUCUCAAGUGUCGGACACUAAUGUGGAAGUCGUCGAUCCCGCAGGAAUGACGUGUUUUUUUAGGCCACCACAGGAGUUAGCAUCACCCCGGUUCCCUCGACAAAAAGCCAGUAGGAUUUUUCUAUUGGCUUUUGGAUUAUUGCCAAAAAUACACUCUUUGACCAACAAAAGCUUAUGAUUCUUACAUGUUCCGUUCAUUAAGAUAAGAUUAGUAGAUGUAGGCUGUAAUAGAUGAGAUUUCCUUUUCGGCGUGAUGACGUUUAAUGUCCCCGACAACAUUUAGCCACUUCUUAGCAACCGUCUUUUUCCAAGACACGUAAAAGCUUAUCCUGAGUGAGGUAUUACUGAUGUAUUUUAUGGCGCAGUAUAAAACGUGAACUUGUCUUCACCUCAUUUUAGUCAUUUAACCAAAAAAUCCAUUCCAAAACCCCAUCGACUUCGGGACGAUGGUUGUCCUGUACACAGGAAGAUUCGAAGACCACGAGAAAACAACUUUCGUUACGUCGAGAUCACGUGAAAAUGAAGCCGUGAUCACGAGAAAACAACAGAAAAAAAAAAACUAAUAAUGCAUGGCCGCUUAGGGCUUCCGUAGAUUUUAAGGAAGACAUGUUGGAAAUUGAAGACUCAUCCGACGUUAAACCAUCUUUAAAAGGUAAACUACUGUACAUUAUUACCACGUGGUUUGAGACAUGGCUACAGAAAGACUACGGAUUUUUCCUGAAGUGUGAGAAUUCACACUAAUAAGAAGAGAAUAAUAAGGGGGGAAUUAUUUUACCUGCUUCUAUACAAAAUUUCCAUAAACACUAAACGUUUUGAAGUGGUUCUGCUGCCCCCGUGUGGUAAACCAUCAGCACUGCAUCGUGCGCACCUACAGAGGCUUAUCAGAGGGGAAAAAAAAACCUUCUUUCUAUACAUCUUAAUAUGGAUAUAUAUUAAAUUGUGUACUAUUGUGCACUCCUUGUGACUGUUGUGGUACCUCACCUUAUAUUUUUACAUGGUAAUCCGAGUACAGUGCACCUUUAAAAGUACAUUCAAUUCAGAUCCUGAAGGCGGAGCUUCGUGAACAUGGGCAGGAAUCAUUCUCAUGGCGAACCCAGCUAACUGGUAGAGACCUAGGGUGCGUCUCAAUCAGCUGCCUAGUUCAGAAGUCGCGGCACCGAUCAGCGAGUCGGCCAUUUUAAGUGCCGCCUCGAUCAAUCGCAAAAUCCUUCUGGAAUGUUCGCUCCCUAAAAAUCCCACAAUGCACCACAAAAAACCAAGGAGCAUCGCUGCUCAUCAUGUUCCCUUACUGGAACUGACCUCGCUUUUUUUUUUUUAAGCCCCUCAGCACGAUUACCCACGUUAGAGGUUUUUAACGUUACGUGUGGCGAGACAGGGCCCUUACCAGAGCCCCGACUCGUGUACACGAGGAAUUCAUUUAACUAGCUUUUAGAGUAAUACUUUAAAGGUACAUUUUAAAUACAUAAAAAGGUACCGCCCAAGUAACAAGCUGCACUUCAGUACCUCUCCUCUGAGAGUGUGUAGCGUCUGAUUUUUACAGGAUCCAGAUCCGCCCCUUCGGCGAUAAUCGCUCCUAGAAAAUAAAAACGAAGCAGGCAGUUUUACGAGGUUCAAAUGUUUUAUUUCUCAUAGUCAUGAGUGGCAUUUCAAUGGUUUCCACAGCAUAUGACGCAGCAUGCAGAGACGAAGAGGCCCAAAACGAACAAACAAAAAAUAAUUUCAACAAAAAUCCUAAGACUGAAAUGUUGUAUUCUCAACACAACCCCAUAAUCCCCCCCAAACCCCCCCCCCCCCCAAAACCCAUCACCAUCGUACGAGGUAACAAACUGACCAAUCCCCAACAUAGUUCUAGAAAGCACUGAAUCAAAAGCAAAGAAGCACUAACUGUAUCACAUGUAAAUAACAAAAGUCUGUACAAAACAAUUCAUCCAAAUCAGGAGCCGGAAAAAAAAUAAUAAAACCCCAACAAAACCCGAAACACAAGACCCAGUUUCCACAGCACGCCGCUUCCACAGGGCCGGAGUAAAGCUUUGUUUAAUGUGACACUGAUUUUUCUGAUUAUUAUAUUCAUCUGGUGAUUAUAAGAAGUAUGGAUACAUGAUGUAGUGGAGUAAGUUCGUCAUUUCCAUAUUUAAAACAUUUACCAAAAAAAGUUUGGCAACAUCCAUAUAUUUAUAUGCAACUGUCAUUCAUAUAUCAAUUCUUACCAUUCAUUAUGUAAACAAGAGGAUUGGUUUUCUUAAAAAUGUUUUUAUUUUAAUUUUCCCCCCCAAAAAGUCGGACCUACAUGCACGGAGAAAAGAAAGACACCCGCCCGUUUCAUGCAAAGCACAUCACCAGACCCUUAAGGGUCUUUUUAUUUUGGGGAAAACGCAGGUCGUGCAGUGCGUGGUUUAGAAAAAAGAAAACAAACAAACGACAACAACAAAAAAACAACCAGCAGACGUGCAUGUGAGAGAGCGAGAGAAAGAUUAGAGAGAGCGAGAGAGGAGUGAGAGUUGGAGAGAGAGAGAGAAAGAGGGGAGAGAGAGAGGAGUGUGGGAGAGAGAGAGAGGGGAGAGAAAGAGAGGGGAGAGAGAGAGGGGA